GGUUCUGGGAAAUAAGAAAUCAUUAGAAAAAGAUUUCUGCCUUCUAGAAGUACACAGUCUAAUGGUGAGAUAGGCAGUUAUUAAUGGCUCUCCUACUAGGAGCCUGACAUCAUGGUGAGCAUCGAGAAAGGAAUAACCUAAGCUGAAGACACGCCUUUUCAGGAGGCCAAGUUCCACGUUCUGUGCAUGCUUUUGGCGAAAGUCAGGUGCCGAGACAUGAACUUUGGUCUUCUCUGCAAUCCAUCUGGAGCAUUCACUGACAACAUCGACUUUGAAGUUGCACUGACCUGGCCAGCCCUGCCACUUACCAGGUUGGCUCUGUAUGGCUAAGCGUUUUCUCCUAAAAUCCCUUGAAAACUGUGAGAAGACCAUAAGAAGAUCAUAUCUUUAAUUCUAUUUCACAAGUCACACAAUAUUCCAAUCAAAUACAGAUGGUUGAGAAAAGUCAUCCAUCUUCCCUCCCCACCCUCCCACAGCCCCUCAACCACUGCCCUGAAACUUAUAUGCUGUUAUCCGCAGCUCCAUCUGGAGCAUCACAGCUACUGUCAACCCUGACGCUCUUUCUGAAAAAACACCGGAUGGACAUCAGAACUAUUUCUUUAAGGAUGUUACUGAGCCACACAGGAAAACUUGCCUUAUGAUUUUGAAUGCACGGAUCUGAUUUGACUAAACAUGAUAACUAGAGAAUCACCCAAUCUACUCCCAUUUUCAACUCUAAAUCAUCAGAGUGUCUCAAAUCCAAAGCACACACAGACCAGCCUGGCCAACACGGUGAAACUCCACCCCUACUAAAAGUAUAAAAAUUAUCCAGGUGUGGUGGCGGGCGCCUGUAAUCCAAGCUACUUGGGAGUCUGGAGGCAGGAGAAUCCCUUGAACCUGGGAGAUGGAGGUUGCAGUGAGCAGAGAUCACACCACCGCACUCUAGCCUGGGCCACAAAUCAACAACAACAACAACAACAAAAAACAAAGCGCACACAGAGACUGAGGUCCUCUUUGGCAUUGAGAAGAUGGCUAUGCAAGUCCCAACUAGCAAGUGCAAACUUCCCAGCUUCACUUCUGCCAGUGUCCCUUCACCCCUUCUCAACCCCACUGGGAGGCAGGAGGGUGCUUGACAAUAACAGCCUUGGCAUCACUCUGCCAGGGUGUAAUAGGAACUGUUACAAUUCUGAGAUUCUGUGUAAGCACUGGCCUUUCUGCCUAGAAUGCCUUCUCCUCUCUUUUUUAACUGCAUGCUCCUAUUUAUCUUUCAAAGCCCGGAAAAAAUAACACUGCACACGGGAAAUGCUCCCUUCCUACUGCAGUCAUUUAGAUGACUCUAUGCCAUUCCAUUCAUUUCUCUUUCCUACCACAGAAGUGCUUUGAGAUUUUGGAGUCAGACUGCUUGAACUUGAAUCCUGGCCCUCUCAUCAGAGACUUGACUUAUUUUAGGCAAGUUAUAUAACCAAUUUUACCUCAGUUCCUUACCCAUAAAAUGGGUCUAAUGAGAGUACCUACCACACAGAAUUUUGAUGAAAACUGAAUGAGAUGAAGGCCUUUAAGGCAGUGGUCCCCAACCCUGGGGACACAGACAGGUACCAUUUUGUGGCCUGUUAGGAACUGGGCCACACAGCAGGAGGUGAGCAGUGGGUGAGUGAGAUCAGCGUUAUUUACAGCUGCUCCCCAUUGCUCACCUUACUGCCUGAGCUCCACCUCCUGUCAGAUCAGCAGUGGCAUUAAAUUCUCAUAGCAGCACAAACCCUGUCAUGAACUGCACAUGCGAGGGAUCUAGGUUGUGCGCUCCUUAUGAGAAUCUAAUGCCUAAUGACCUGUCACCGUCUCCCAUCACCCCUAGAUGGGAGUGUCUAGUUGCAGGAAACAAGCUCAGGGCUUCCACUGAUUCUACAUUAUGGUGAGUUGUAUAAUUAUUUCAUUAUAUAAUACAAUGUAAUAAUAAUAGAAACACAGUGCACAACAAAUGUAAUGUGCUUGAAUCAUCCCCAAACCAUCCCAGUCCACGGUCUUCCACAUUUUGUCUUUUCACAAAAUUGUCUUCCACAAAACUGGUCCCUGGUGCCAAAAAGGCUUGGGACCACUGCUUUAAAGCCUUUGCAUAGUGCUUAGAAUUGAGGGGGAAAAAAAAAACAAAAACAAUGUAGCUAGUUGCUACAAUCACUAUAUUGGUGAGUUUCAAAAGGAAAAGAAUUCUGUCCCAUUUAUGCUUGAGCCUUGAGUUGCUAACCAAGCCUGACACAAAAUUACUGUUGAAGGGAUGUGUGAGUCCUAAUUGAAAUGAGGCCUCUUAAGGGAAUUGUGGACCAAACCCCAAGCAGGCAGAAAGCCGUAUCUUAAUUAUUGCAAGUAUUUCAGGCAAGGUGUGGAUGGCCAUUUGAAUUCAAGCAGACUAGGACCUGGGAUGAGAAAGAAGGUGUGUACGUGACUUGAUCUUUGAACUUUAGCUCACCAUCUGGAAGAAGGCUGAGUAUUCUCUGCACUCACAUAGUAGCUAAUGCCUACUCCCCAGCCACCCACAAUUCUUUCUGUAGGAAGGCUCGCUAGAAUACUUUGUGAUAUUGGAUAUUAGUUCCAUAUUCUACUGUGUAUCUUAGUUCAACCAAAUUGUAAUCAUCUGAUAUUUAUUUCUUUUAAUAUAAAUAUAAGUAUAUUAAGUCUUGGCAUGCUUGCUCAGUCUCUCUCUCUCUCCCAUUCCUCCCCGCUCCCCUCUCUCUUUCCCAACAGGCUUGGAAAGCAGGCAUCACCAUGCCUAUUUAACAGUUGGGGUCCCUUGGCCACCAGGUGCUGGAGUAGGAAUCUGAGCCCGGACAUGCCUGAUCUGUAAAUUUUGUGUUUUCCCCACUGUGCUGGGCAGAUCACAGCUAUCAGCGCCAAAUUCAUAGAAGGGGCGCCCCCUGUGGUCAAUUGAGGGAUUUGUGUUUGAGGUAGAUCUCAAGAAGGAAUGGGUGGGGAACUUAGCCUAGGACAGAGCAGAAAGGAGCCCUCACUCCCCAAGCACCAACGGCCUCAGUCCUUCCUGCUGACUCCAGCCUCUAGCUCUCACCCAGACUAUCUGCAUCCUUCUCUCCACCACGCUCCUUUGGAACCUGCGUAAAACACAGAUUAAAGGAAUUCCGCCUUACUUCCCUUUCCGCAUUAUGACCAAAUGGUUUUACACUAUCAUUGAACAGUUUAGUACAAAACAUGCCACCUUUUAAUCUAUUCAUUCAUUUAACAAAUACUUUGGAGUGUUUACCAUGUGCCAAGUGCUGUUCUAAUAGACAUAAGCUGUGAGGUUAUGCUUAUCUGAUUCUCACAGCAACAGCUUUCGAGAUAUGAAUUGGUAUACUCAUUUGACAGAUGAGGAAAUUGAAUUCAUGUAGUGAGAAAGGAAGAGCUGCAAUUCAGGGUUACUGGUUUCUCCUGCACUAAGCACUGAGCCACACUAGAAGAGAAGGCAUGAGGAAGACAAAAGUGAGAAGGUACGAGAGAAGAUAUUAAGUAGAGGUCUAUUAGUUCCUCUUAAAACUAUUUAUGAAAGAGGCGGAUGGGGUAGUGGAUGGGAAAGACAGAUGGAUUCAUGUUCUUCACUCCAGGUUUCCCCCCAUUCCCUUCCCUUUUAAAUGCCUGCUCAUUUUUUGGCUACCUUUCAAGCUCUAGGAAAUACUCUGGAAUUCCAGGCUGGGAGGGGUUUCCUUUGCAGAUCUGGCUAUUGUAACUUUACAAGAAAUUGCUCAAUACUUCCUCUCACCAGUUACAAACCACGGUUUUCUGAAUGAACUUUAUGUUCAUUAAACAGUUAACCCUUCAGCUUUCUGACUCACAUUUUUCAUGUUAUUAAUCAGCUCUUAGAGUAAGGUAAAAUCUAGAACAGACUUUAUAUACACCCUCCCUCCCACACACAUAUACAUACAUAAUACAAACACAGACCACACAUGUCCACAUCCUUAUGCGCAAACACUAAGAAACACACGCAUACACAAACAUACAUGUACACAAAAUUAAAUACAUAGCUAUGGCACUUUCACUAUACAUGUAAACACCCUUACACACAUACAAAUGUACAUGCGCGUGUGCGCACACACAUAUGGAAUUAGCUUUUUCUCUUUGUGGGAGGAGGGAAAUGAAAAGACCCAAAACAUUCAGAUUCCCAAAUGGACACGUAAGAACCCCGUCAUGGAAAUAGGUCUGGGUUUUUUUCUCUUUUGAGGGAAGCAGGGCGUUUCUGGUUACUGUCGCCAUUGCCAUUGUGCCCCUGCUUACCAUCCCCCUGCACCGCCCCCCCGGCCCCCGCCCGCCACUGCUAGGGUUUACAGGUCAUCCCUGGAUUAAAUAAGUGAUAUUGUGUUUUUUUUUCUUUGACACAAAGUAAAAUUAUAAUUAAUAUUGAAUAAAGUAAAAAUGAACUCCUGAGUUCCAGUCCCUUAUGUAACACACCUGGUUUGUGGCAGGCACUCAGGAAAUAUUAGUUGCAUGAACGAAGGCUGCAUUUUCAUUAGAACAACAUGCAGUUCAACCCCUUCAUGUUUCAAUGAGGGUUCAGAUACCCAGAGGGCUAUGCUAUCAUCCUGGAGCCCACUCUGCUAACAAUUAGCAGAACGGAAGCCUUAAUUUCCAGAUUCUAGUGAACUUGAUGAGUCAAGACUAUUGCAAUUGGAAAUCUGUUCUCCUCUGCUGCUGCAUUCCCUGCUUAAUACUCAAGCCAGAAACCAGGAAGGCUGUGGCUUGCCUUUUCACUUCUUGUGUCCUGUUUAAGAAAUAUCUGCUAUCCCAAGCAUCUGGCAUCUUUCUUGACAUAUGUAGCAGUUGCUUUUUGACAGCUUGCUUCUUCAGUGAAUGAAUAAAUUAAUAAAGAGAAAUGUGAUGUUCAGUGAUCCAUUUUGCAGGCAUGCUUCUGAUGUGAGUUCAGGAGAAGACACUGGCAAGGACAGCAAAGAACAGGAGAACACUCUAGCUUCCCUGAUAGCAUUCAAGGUGCUGUCCAAACUGACUGUGAUGGCACCCUCCAGACAGACAGCGAUGCCACAUGUUCAAGAUGGCAGAAUCACUAUCAGCUUCAAUUCCUGAAUGACUGCAGAGCAAAAUUUCUUACCUGCAACAUACACUCUAUUUUCAGCCUCCCUGGACUGUUACAUAAUGAUACAUAAAAAUAUUUCUUGUGUUGAGGCAUCCCAAAUUUGAUUUAUUUGUCAUCACAGUCUAUCCUAUGAAUAUAUUUCUGAUCCAAAUAAUGCUAGAUUCAUGAGAGUUUAUAGUCCAGAGAUUUUUUUUUUUUUUUUGAGACAGAAUCUGUCUCCCAGGCUGGGGUGCAGUGGCAUAAUCUUAGCUCACUGCAACCUCUGCCUCCCGGGCUCAAGUGAUCCUCCCUCCUUAGCCUCCAUGAGUAGCUGGGACCACAGGUGUGCACCACCACACCCCGCUAAUUAUUUUGUAUUUUUUGCAGAGGGGGGUUUCACCACAUUGCCCAAGCUGGUCUCAAACUCCUAGACUUAAGGGAUCUGCCUGCCUUGGCCUCCCAAAAUGCUGAAAUUACACUUGUUAGCCAUAGUAAUAGUUCCUAGCCAUAGUCCGGAGAUAUUUUAAAAACUUUAGUGUGAGUUAUUUCUCUUUGCUAUAAUUCUCUCAUGCAUUUUGAAAACCUUUUCUGCCAUACAGUGGUUUUUGGGAAGUCCUUUUGGACAGACAUAUCACAGGAUGGAGAAACUAAAAAGAGAGAAUGCAUUAAAGAAAAAAUAGUACUUCGUAUUUCAGAAAUUACAAAAGGGUGUCAUGCCCCACAGCAUGGUGGGCAGUCAUUUGUAACCCACAGAACAUUGAGUUUCUAAAAUUUGAGUGUUUUUAACUUACGAAGGCCAACUUUACUGAUGAAGUGAUUACCCCAAAUAUGUGAAAUCCAUAUUUCAAGUACAAUAGUAGGAAAUUGGAAAUGGGCUCUUGAGUUUCUGCUUUCAAGUGACCCUCAGAAAUUCCUCCAUUCACUGCAGAGGUUCUGUUUCUCCUUGCUUUGUUCUGACUUUACGGCAGAACUAAGCUAAUGAGUUAGUUACUAUGGGUUAUCACUUGGAUUUGAAGAACCAUCAUUUCUAGGCAUUGCUGCUCAGAGUGGGUCUGCCCUCAGGGGAAGCUGUCUAACCAGAGCCUAACCCACUAGGGUUUUAUCAGAACCUAACUGACCUGAGGAAAAGAAAUACUCAACUCCAGCAAGCUCCAGCCUUCCAAAUGGAGGAGGAGAAAACCCAACUCCAGCCCACUUCAGCUAUCUUGUCCCACAUAAAGGGGAAGUGGAAGAAACCUGAGAAGCAGGCAUGAAGUUCACAGUCCAGAGACCUUGCCAUCGUAUCCCCUUUUGGAGACACAAGCCAGGAAGGAAGCUCUUCAGUGCAGCUGUGAAUAGAGAAAUGCUGGCUGAGGUUUUGGAGACACUGGGUGAUCAUUCCCAGUGAAAUUUUUAGAUCCCUGGGGACAUGAGCUGCUUUGUCUUUUCCAAGGACAGCAGACAGAGCAUGAAUGAGACCCCCAAAGAAGGGAAGCAAAUGAGACAAGCCCCACAAUUAUUCUGGCUUUUUGCCUAGAGACAAUCUAUGAACUGUGGGGCAAACAACAGAGAUCAAAACAGCUUGGCAAUCUGAGUUGAGGAUGAAGACACCAUUGGGGCAGAAGCAGCGAUAGCUCAAAUUUGUGGAGCAAAGUACCGGAGAAGAUAAACUGCUCCAAAUUCCAAGAGGCUGGGCAAAGAAAAACUUUGUGGAAAGAAGAAUUAUCAGGGAACUCUAAGCUGAAAAAUUGCCAGGGCUCACACAGACCUGGGGAAUUGGUUGAGUUUAUGCCACCUACAGGAUAGAGAACUUGCUGAAUGUUCAAGGAUUUUGUUACAGAUGCAAGAUGACACUUAAAGGGAUGCAAAACUAACAUCUCUGGAUUAGUCUUAAUAAAGUUUAAAAAUAAGCUUAGAAAAAGUCAAA
This 6932-nucleotide long non-coding RNA is filed under the name Homo sapiens (human). RNAcentral describes it as "PREDICTED lncRNA (TCONS_00257666)". Lineage: Eukaryota; Metazoa; Chordata; Mammalia; Primates; Hominidae. The record is from RNAcentral.